CGGGGAAUAUUGGACAAUGGGGGCAACCCUGAUCCAGCCAUGCCGCGUGAAUGAUGAAGGCCUUCGGGUUGUAAAGUUCUUUUGGUAGGGACGAUGAUGACGGUACCUACAGAAUAAGCUCCGGCUAACUUCGUGCCAGCAGCCGCGGUAAUACGAAGGGAGCUAGCGUUGUUCGGAAUUACUGGGCGUAAAGGGCGCGUAGGCGGUUCGACAAGACAGAUGUGAAAGCCCUGGGCUCAACCCGGGAACUGCGUUUGUGACUGUCGUACUUGAAUUCGGGAGAGGUUGGUGGAAUUCCCAGUGUAGAGGUGAAAUUCGUAGAUAUUGGGAAGAACACCCGUGGCGAAGGCGGCCAACUGGACCGACAUUGACGCUGAGGCGCGAAAGCGUGGGGAGCAAACA
RNAcentral lists this ribosomal RNA (402 nucleotides) under uncultured bacterium. Its description in RNAcentral is "bacterial SSU rRNA". It matches the Rfam family "Bacterial small subunit ribosomal RNA", at positions 355 to 774 of the family's 1533-position model. The record is from RNAcentral.